RNAcentral lists this ribosomal RNA (225 nucleotides) under Acanthamoeba genotype T4. Its description in RNAcentral is "partial 18S ribosomal RNA". The stretch from base 1 to 167 matches the Rfam family "Eukaryotic small subunit ribosomal RNA", at positions 945 to 1115 of the family's 1831-position model. The record is from RNAcentral. Lineage: Eukaryota; Discosea; Longamoebia; Acanthamoebidae.
GCGAAGCAUCUGCCAGGAUGUUUUCAUUAAUCAAGAACGAAAGUUAGGGGAUCGAAGACGAUCAGAUACCGUCGUAGUCUUAACCAUAAACGAUGCCGACCAGCGAUUAGGAGACGUUGAAUACAAAACACCACCAUCGGCGCGGUCGUCCUUGGCGUCUCGGUCCUUCACGGGGCCGGGGCGCGGGGGCGGCUUAGCCCGGUGGCACCGGUGAAUGACUCCCCU